RNAcentral lists this ribosomal RNA (503 nucleotides) under uncultured bacterium. RNAcentral's name for it is "bacterial SSU rRNA". It matches the Rfam family "Bacterial small subunit ribosomal RNA", at positions 24 to 518 of the family's 1533-position model. The record is from RNAcentral.
UCAGGAUGAACGCUAGCUACAGGCUUAACACAUGCAAGUCGAGGGGCAGCAUUGGAGUAGCAAUACUCAGAUGGCGACCGGCGCACGGGUGAGUAACACGUAUCCAACCUGCCGCUUACUCGGGGAUAGCCUUUCGAAAGAAAGAUUAAUACCCGAUGGUAUAAAGAGUUCGCAUGUUCUCUUUAUUAAAGAAUUUCGGUAAGCGAGUGGGGAUGCGUUCCAUUAGAUAGUUGGCGGGGUAACGGCCCACCAAGUCUACGAUGGAUAGGGGUUCUGAGAGGAAGGUCCCCCACAUUGGAACUGAGACACGGUCCAAACUCCUACGGGAGGCAGCAGUGAGGAAUAUUGGUCAAUGGACGAGAGUCUGAACCAGCCAAAGUAGCGUGAAGGAUGACUGCCCUAUGGGUUGUAAACUUCUUUUAUAAGGGAAUAAAGUGAGGGACGUGUCCCUUUUUGUAUGUACCUUAUGAAUAAGGAUCGGCUAACUCCGUGCCAGCCGCCGC